GUUAAAAAAAGCAUGUAGCAUUUAAGUUUCGGCCUUAAACAAGGUUUUGUACCUUUUAAUA
RNAcentral lists this transfer RNA (61 nucleotides) under Euhadra herklotsi. RNAcentral describes it as "tranfer RNA-Arg". Lineage: Eukaryota; Metazoa; Mollusca; Gastropoda; Stylommatophora; Camaenidae. The record is from RNAcentral.